Molecule: non-coding RNA, 1165 nt
Organism: Phascolarctos cinereus (koala)
Lineage: Eukaryota; Metazoa; Chordata; Mammalia; Diprotodontia; Phascolarctidae
Source: RefSeq, a predicted model, not a curated record
CAAGCAACAGGGAAUGUUUCAUUAAGCAUCUGAGUUUGGCUUUGAAGACUGGGUAGAAAUCUGGCAGGGGAACAGAGAGGAUAUUCUAGGCAUGGGGAAUGGUUUGAACAAAGGUACACAGGAGGAGGUGUCCCAUAGGAAGUUAGAGAUGUGGAUCUGGAACACAGAAUUGGAGAGUGAGAGAAAUUCUGGGGUCAUCUACAUAAAGGUUCAUCUCGUGAGUGACUGGAGGUUGGGGAGUCUCCCCUGUAUGCUGUUGGUGGGCUAGGGGGUCAGUCUGUCUCAGAUAGCAAGAGUCCAAGAGAACAGCAGCGAAGCCGCAGAGGUUUCUCCGGUGUCCUGGGGAGGCCUAUUUAGAAAAGCUCUUCUGUGUACUCAGACAUCUCUUGUCUCCCAUAUGAGAAAAUACAAGAGGGCACAGCUCCUGAGACCCCCCAGACCGGCUGCCAGUAUUAGUAACAAUCAGGAGGCAGUGAUGACCUUGGCACUCAAGUCUUCGCCCCACUAACCAAUCCUCCCUGCCCCCUGACCCAAUCAAGUCAGAGAACAGCACUGCAGGCAAGGGAUCCCACAGGCUCCAGAAACUACUGCAAGACACCACUGGCCAGAGAGAAUCUAGAGGUCUAAAGUUCCUAGUUUGAAAGGAAGGAAGUCUAUGUCUGGAUGCGCUGCUUGCUUCUGGCUUUAUUUUAAGCCAAAGCACCAGAUUCCAACAGCCUUCACUGCAAUCUCGGAGGACAGCAGCCUUAGGAGAGAGAUCUUGGCAAAGCGCCACCCCUACAGACUGCAGGGAUAUGCCUACAACACAGACCUGAUAACAGACAAGCUCAGAAGCACCUUCUUCUCCCACCCUGUAUUCUGCCAUUCCGAUCUCUCCCCCCACCUUCCCAGCAGGAAGCAGAUGAGAACUCAAGAAGGCUGAUCAAAUAGAUAUCACAGGCAUCUGGAGCAGAUAGGGAGCGUGUUUGUCAGAGAGAGAGUGGAGGCAGAUGCCCACAUAAACCAUAAUAAUAUAACACAACAGAAGAUAAUCACCCUGCAUCCAGAAAUGUUAUGAGGGUGCUGACUGCCAUAGCUGCCCAGUUCAAGGAACAGGCAGGAGCUUCCUCAAAGAACUCAUGUCCUGUGCCACAGUGAAAGGCCUGAACUAUUACUUCUCUCACUC